UAAAGUAGAAACCGCAUAUUAGGAAUACAGAUAAUUGAUGCAUUCGCGUUAUUGAAACAAAAUGUCUAGGAAUGGACCGGUUGAAUAUUAAAACAUUGAAAAUUAAUCGGAUAUUUGAAACAAUUAGGGUCAGGGUUGACGAAAUCCUGUUGGCAUACCGGUUAUCCGGCGAUAACCAAUGUAGUGUAAUAAUUAUGAUGUACAUUACCCUAUCUUUACUGUAGUUAGGUAUCGAUACUGGAUUCAACUUGUCCAAUUAAUUUCGAUUACUUUUAGCUACUGUUGUUUAUCGUAAGUACUAUGCUCUUUACUGUUAUCGUUUUAAUUCAACUCUGGUGGUUAGUGUUUCGUUUUUCUAAAAAUCUAAAAUUGUCUAAACGCCGAAAUUUAAGUUCGGGGUAGAAGUGCGAGUUGCGAAAGUCUUAUGAUGUGUUUCCAAAAAUUAGUUUACAUGAUGCCGCAACUCGACUAAAUGUUUCUUAUUACACAUUGAAUAGAAUUUUGAAAGAUUGUUCGAAGAUCGACACUCAACAUUAGAAAUUAAAAGUGAUAAUCGGAAAAGAAGAAAUUGUAAACAGAGCGUUGGAGGAAUGUUUCGCACAAUUGAGUAAAAAAUAAGCCCAUAUUAUGUUGUGUGUGUAUGUAUAAAGCAUAUUAUCAAAAAUUAAUUAUUUUUAGAUUCUGAGCGUAGCGAGUUAUCUAUCGGUUUUACUACGAUGUGU
Cinara cedri is the source of this 722-nucleotide non-coding RNA. NCBI's taxonomy places the organism in Eukaryota, Metazoa, Arthropoda, Insecta, Hemiptera, Aphididae. The record is from the annotation of a GenBank genome assembly.